GUCGUUGCGCCGGAAGCCCCGGG
This 23-nucleotide microRNA is filed under the name Tribolium castaneum (red flour beetle). RNAcentral describes it as "tca-miR-11643-3p". Lineage: Eukaryota; Metazoa; Arthropoda; Insecta; Coleoptera; Tenebrionidae. The record is from miRBase by way of RNAcentral.